This 2040-nucleotide long non-coding RNA is filed under the name Nicotiana tabacum (common tobacco). Its description in RNAcentral is "long non-coding RNA (NTAB_LNC017038)". Lineage: Eukaryota; Viridiplantae; Streptophyta; Magnoliopsida; Solanales; Solanaceae. The record is from RNAcentral.
GGGAAAGGUAUUUAAUUCACUUAAUCAAGCACACUUCAAUCCUUUAGGAACUAAAAGAACAAGCUGAUUGAUGGGGGAAAACAGAGCUUAAACCAGCUUUGCAUAAAAAACAACAUGAAUGAAUACAUAUUAUCCUAAGCAUGAAGCAGUUUUUAAACCAAACGUGUUUAAACAAACCCCAACAGGAGGUGUCCUUCUUGCAAACCUAUCCGACAUGACAGACUAAACUCCAAAUCCAAACUGUAAGAUGAAAGGUAAUAUCAAUGACAUGAAUGAACAUAAUAAACCAUGGAUACACUAAAUUAAGACAGAACUUCUAAAAGACAUAGCCAACAUUCAAUAAAAGGAAACUAAUGUUCAUCUUCGAAAUCUCCAAUCGAUUACAUAACUCCAAACUUGCACUUCACACAUUUAGGGAGUCCAAGAAGUACCUGGGUGCAGAAAUUUGAACAAGAAAAGAUGAAGAAAUCAGUAGCAAUAGAACAGUGCCAAUCAGCCACUCAACAACAGCAAAUUCAGCUUCCUUGAACCAUUUUCGAACCCAAAUCAACUAAGAGGUCUUUGAAGUGUUAAAAUGACUCUAAUAGUGUACCCAAAAAUGUAAUUCCAAGCAGUUUUUAACCAAGCCUGAUGCAGAGAGUUUUUCAGUCUUUUUAGGGUGUCCGUCCUCUGUGCUAAGUGAAGGAAAGACCUUAUUUAUAAGGCAGGGGUCUGUUGUGUGCCAUUCAAGACAAGACAAUGAGAUUAUCCCCAAAAUACCCUCACAGGGCAUCUUUUAAAACUGAUUUUUGUACAGCUGUCCUUCUCUUUUAGAUAUUUUCAUUUUUCAGCCUAUUUUCCUUAACAAUUUUGGGCAGCUGUCCAUUUAGGAAUCUUCCCAAUCAAUUACUAAAGAUUCCCCAGGUUAAACAAUCCCCAAGCUACCCCUAAAGUUCCUAAUUAUUCAAUUAACACCCUUGAAAGUUCUGAACAUGUAAAACCUAAACGAACAAUUUUCUAACAGAACCCAUAGGCCAAACGAAUCAAAUGACAUUAAUCUCUAAAAUCUAAAUAGAUUUAUCAUUGGAAUGCACUCAGAACUAAACCCACACCUGAACAGUCAAAAUUGACAUUUAGCAAGAAUCAAUGAACCUAUUUGAUAUUUAAACUCUGAAAAAAUUAACAAUCAUCUUAACAGGGAAUUCAAAACAACAUGAUUCACUAAUAUGCUGAUUUUGGAGAAAAAUUCAUUAAACAUAGGUUAAAUAAUUAAACUAAACCCUAAAUGGAGAACUACUGAUUUUAGAGGCAAAUGCAAUAGUUAGCCCUAAACUUAACUGAUUAACACUGACGAUUAGUUACGGGGAAAAGAAAACAAAAUUCUAGCGGCUUAAGAUUAAAGCUAACUGACCCCUUUCCCUUUUUUAAGACAAAAGAAACAGAAGAAGAAGAAGAAGAAGAUGAUGAUGAUGAAGAAGAAGAAGAAGAAGAAGAAGAAGAAGAAAUUUUAAAAUGUAAGGAGGCUCCAGAAAAGCAAGAUGAUGAGAAGAUGAAAAAAGUAAAAAAGGAACAAAUACCUAGCAAAUAAUGACUGUCCAUUCUUACUGGAAUCGUCUUCUCCGAUUUAACCCAAAAAUGGGUGUCAAAUGAUUGUUCCCAUCGAGAACAAACAAGUGAUACCCAUUUCGGCUCAAAUCAUCUAUGAAGGCACAUGCAUGUCCAGCCCAGAUUUGAUAUGGCUCCAAUUCGAUAAGCCUCUUGGGCAAUCAACAAGAUGUGAUGGGUGGAAGGAGCAAGGGGACAAUCUGGUGAGGUUUUGGGUGGGCUUGGGCGAAUUAGGGUUUUGGAGGUUCCCGGUUUAGAUCUAAAAUUCGGGGUAUUUGGUAAUUAUUCGAGGGAAACGGGUUAAAGAUUUGAACAGAUGAGGGCAAGGGGAUUAUAUGGUAUCAAUUUUGAGGGGAUCAGAGUGGUUUAUGCCAUCGCCGCUGGCGGAUAUGGUGGAGGUUUCAGGGACGGCGAGCUCUAGGGUUUUGAGAGACAAGGGGGUGAGGAGAAGACUGA